Molecule: ribosomal RNA, 304 nt
Filed under: uncultured bacterium
Lineage: Bacteria
Description: bacterial SSU rRNA
Rfam family: Bacterial small subunit ribosomal RNA
Source: RNAcentral
GACAGAGGUGGCAAGCGUUGUUCGGAUUUAUUGGGUGUAAAGGGCAGGUAGGUGGUUAUGUAAGUCUGGCGUGAAAUCCCAGGGCUCAACCCUGGAACUGCGUUGGAAACUACAUGACUUGAGUAUCGGAGAGGUGAGGGGAAUUCUCGGUGUAAGGGUGAAAUCUGUAGAUAUCGAGAGGAACACCAGUGGCGAAGGCGCCUCACUGGCCGAUUACUGACACUGAGCUGCGAAAGCAAGGGGAGCAAACAGGAUUAGAAAACCCGACGUACGUCCGUCGAGACGUCGACGACGGACACACGGA